Molecule: ribosomal RNA, 427 nt
Filed under: uncultured bacterium
Lineage: Bacteria
Description: bacterial SSU rRNA
Rfam family: Bacterial small subunit ribosomal RNA
Source: RNAcentral
UGGGGAAUUUUGGACAAUGGGCGCAAGCCUGAUCCAGCCAUGCCGCGUGCAGGAUGAAGGCCCUCGGGUUGUAAACUGCUUUUGUACGGAACGAAAAGCCUCUUUCUAAUAAAGAGGGGUGAUGACGGUACCGUAAGAAUAAGCACCGGCUAACUACGUGCCAGCAGCCGCGGUAAUACGGAGGGUGCAAGCGUUAUCCGGAAUCACUGGGCGUAAAGGGCGCGUAGGCGGUCUGUUAAGUCCGAUGUUAAAUCCCGGGGCUCAACCCCGGAUAAGCGUUGGAUACUGGCAGGCUAGACGGUUGGAGAGGCGAGUGGAAUUACCAGUGUAGCGGUGGAAUGCGUAGAUACUGGUUGGAACACCCAUUGCGAAGGCAGCUCGCUGGACAACACGUGACGCUGAGGCGCGAAAGUGUGGGGAGCAAACC